RNAcentral lists this microRNA precursor (152 nucleotides) under Oryza meridionalis. The record is from RNAcentral. Lineage: Eukaryota; Viridiplantae; Streptophyta; Magnoliopsida; Poales; Poaceae.
UGCUGGUUGUGUAGCCAAGGAUGACUUGCCGGCCUGGUUUGUGUUCAUCAGCAAUCCAGCAUAUGCUGUAUUGCCUUGUGUGAUGGCCGGCGCCGUGGAUCGAUCGAUGCAUGGACCGGCAAGUUAUUUUCUUUGGCUACAUUACAACCUCG